This 301-nucleotide ribosomal RNA is filed under the name uncultured bacterium. RNAcentral's name for it is "partial 16S ribosomal RNA". It matches the Rfam family "Bacterial small subunit ribosomal RNA", at positions 509 to 807 of the family's 1533-position model. The record is from RNAcentral.
CAGUAGCCGCGGUAAUACGUAGGGUGCGAGCGUUAAUCGGAUUUACUGGGCGUAAAGCGUGCGUAGGCGGCUUUUUAAGUCGGAUGUGAAAUCCCUGAGCUUAACUUAGGAAUUGCAUUCGAUACUGGGAAGCUAGAGUAUGGGAGAGGAUGGUAGAAUUCCAGGUGUAGCGGUGAAAUGCGUAGAGAUCUGGAGGAAUACCGAUGGCGAAGGCAGCCAUCUGGCCUAACACUGACGCUGAGGUACGAAAGCAUGGGGAGCAAACAGGAUUAGAUACCCGUGUAGUCCCUGUCUCUUAUAC